ACGGCGAGUGAGAGGAAGAGCUCAAAGUUGGAACCUGUUUGGCCUAGCUAAACCGGAUUGAAGACUGUAGAAGUGUUUUCCAGGCAAGCCGAGUAAAUAAGUCCUUUGGAACAGGGCAUCAUAGAGGGUGAGAAUCCCGUCUUUGGCUUGAGCAUUUGCCUUUUGUGAUACGCUUUCAAAGAGUCAGGUUGUUUGGGAAUGCAGCCUAAAUUGGGUGGUAAAUCUCACCUAAAGCUAAAUAUUGGCGAGAAACCGAUAGCGAACAAGUACCGUGAGGGAAAGAUGAAAAGAACUUUGAAAAGAGAGUUAAACAGUAUGUGAAAUUGUUAAAAGGGAACCGUUUGGAGCCAGACUGGCUUGUCUGUAAUCAAUCUAGGCUUCGGCCUGGAUGCACUUGCAGGCUAUGCCUGCCAACGACAAUUUGACUUGAGGGAAAAAACUAGGGGAAAUGUGGCCCACUUGUGGGUGUUAUAGUCCCUUAGAAAAUACCUUGGGUUGGAUUGAGGAACGCAGCGAAUGCUUAUUGGCGAGUUUUCCAGGAAGGUUUUCUGAGGUACUACGGUAUCAAGGUUGAUCUUUUUGGUUAUACUUCUAUUCGCUUAGGUUGUUGGCUUAAUGACUCUAAAUGACCCGUCUUGA
This 639-nucleotide ribosomal RNA is filed under the name Rhizopus arrhizus. Its description in RNAcentral is "Rhizopus oryzae partial large subunit ribosomal RNA". It matches the Rfam family "Eukaryotic large subunit ribosomal RNA", at positions 86 to 657 of the family's 3401-position model. Lineage: Eukaryota; Fungi; Mucoromycota; Mucoromycetes; Mucorales; Rhizopodaceae. The record is from RNAcentral.